UACGGAGGGUGCGAGCGUUGUUCGGAAUCACUGGGCGUAAAGCGCGUGUAGGCGGCCUGCUAAGUCUGAUGUGAAAGCCCGAGGCUCACCCUCGGAAGCGCAUUGGAAACUGGCAGACUGGAGUCCCGGAGAGGAGGGUGGAAUUCCUGGUGUAGCGGUGAAAUGCGUAGAUAUCGUGAGGAACACCGGUGGCGAAGGCGGCCCUCUGGACGGUGACUGACGCUGAGACGCGAAAGCGUGGGGAGCAAACAGG
This 253-nucleotide ribosomal RNA is filed under the name uncultured bacterium. RNAcentral describes it as "partial 16S ribosomal RNA". It matches the Rfam family "Bacterial small subunit ribosomal RNA", at positions 524 to 776 of the family's 1533-position model. The record is from RNAcentral.